This 72-nucleotide transfer RNA is filed under the name Bos taurus (domestic cattle). It matches the Rfam family "tRNA". From Rfam's summary of the family: Transfer RNA (tRNA) molecules are approximately 80 nucleotides in length. Their secondary structure includes four short double-helical elements and three loops (D, anti-codon, and T loops). Further hydrogen bonds mediate the characteristic L-shaped molecular structure. tRNAs have two regions of fundamental functional importance: the anti-codon, which is responsible for specific mRNA codon recognition, and the 3' end, to which the tRNAs corresponding amino acid is attached (by aminoacyl-tRNA synthetases). tRNAs cope with the degeneracy of the genetic code in two manners: having more than one tRNA (with a specific anti-codon) for a particular amino acid; and 'wobble' base-pairing, i.e. permitting non-standard base-pairing at the 3rd anti-codon position. Lineage: Eukaryota; Metazoa; Chordata; Mammalia; Artiodactyla; Bovidae. The record is from Rfam by way of RNAcentral. RNAcentral also lists the same sequence under 3 other names.
UCCCUGAUGGCUCAGAUGGUAAAGCGUCUGCCUGCAGUGCAGGAGACCUGGGUUCGAUCCCUGGGUUGGGAA